RNAcentral lists this unclassified non-coding RNA (470 nucleotides) under Hevea brasiliensis (rubber tree). Lineage: Eukaryota; Viridiplantae; Streptophyta; Magnoliopsida; Malpighiales; Euphorbiaceae. The record is from RNAcentral.
GCUUUCUCCAUUCUUCAACCUCGGACUAACAUUAAGAAAUAUGGGCUUCUUCUCCUUCCUUGGACGCCUCCUCUUUGCCUCCAUCUUCAUCCUCUCCGCCUGGCAGAUGUUUAAUGAGUUCGGCAAUAAUGGCGGGCCAGCAGCCGCGGAAUUGUCUUCAAAGGUAGCUGUUUUGAGGAGAAAUUUAUCAUCCAAGCUGGGGGUAGCAAUACCUGAUAUUGAUGUCAGACACUUGGUUGCCAUUUCUUUAUCUCUUAAAGGGAUUGGAGGCCUUCUGUUUGUUUUUGGCAGCAGAGUUGGAGCUUAUCUCCUACUUCUGCAAUUGGUUAUUAUCACCCCGGUUCUUUUUGAUUUCUUCAACUAUAGCCCUCAGAAACCUACUUUCGGUAUCCCCUUACCUGAUUUCUUGCAGCACAUUGCACUUUUUGGUGCUCUGCUUUUCUUCUUAGGGAUGAAGACCACAAGUCCAA